UGUGUUUUAAGUCCUUCACUCGUACACUCUAAGUCUUGGGUUUAUUAUACUCUCACAUGCAUCCAUCUCCAUGGUCGUACUUGUAUCAUCCUCCCCUCUUUAAAAAGGAUUUGACCUCAAAUCUAUGCCUUGCAAAAUCAAAGAGAGACAAACAAACACACUUCCUCAUGACAUGAGGGUUAGGGUUAGCAAAAAUAAACAACAAUGGUAUGCACCCAAAACACUCAAAGCAGUCCACACCAAAAAAAAAAGAAAUCGAGGAACUUUUGAGUUCAAGUAUCGGCCAACAACAGGUCUUGACAUGCCAAGGAGGUUCAUAUUUGACAUAUAACCAAGAGUCCUUAGUGUUAAACAAUAUGAAGCCAUCAAAAAAUUCACCAAGGACUUGGCUAUGAUAAGUAUCAAAAAGAAGCACACCUAAGCUGAGAGUAAAUCUUCUUCAACCUAAAAUUUCAUCAAGACAAAUGGGAAGAGGGUCCA
RNAcentral lists this long non-coding RNA (480 nucleotides) under Capsicum annuum. Its description in RNAcentral is "long non-coding RNA (CANN_LNC010882)". The record is from RNAcentral. Lineage: Eukaryota; Viridiplantae; Streptophyta; Magnoliopsida; Solanales; Solanaceae.